UAGCUAGUUGGUGAGGUAAAGGCUUACCAAGGCGACGAUCUGUAGCGGGUCUGAGAGGAUGAUCCGCCACACUGGAACUGAGACACGGUCCAGACUCUUACGGGAGGCAGCAGUGGGGAAUUUUGGACAAUGGGGGCAACCCUGAUCCAGCCAUGCCGCGUGAGUGAAGAAGGCCUUCGGGUUGUAAAGCUCUUUCGGCCGGGAAGAAAUCGCAUGGGCCAAUACCCUGUGUGGAUGACGGUACCGGAAUAAGAAGCACCGGCUAACUACGUGCCAGCAGCCGCGGUAAUACGUAGGGUGCGAGCGUUAAUCGGAAUUACUGGGCGUAAAGCGUGCGCAGGCGGUUUUGUAAGACAGGCGUGAAAUCCCCGGGCUUAACCUGGGAACUGCGUUUGUGACUGCAAGGCUAGAGUACGGCAGAGGGGGGUGGAAUUCCACGUGUAGCAGUGAAAUGCGUAGAGAUGUGGAGGAACACCAAUGGCGAAGGCAGCCCCCUGGGUCGAUACUGACGCUCAUGCACGAAAGCGUGGGUAGCAAACAGGAUUAGAUACCCUGGUAGUCCACGCCCUAAACUAUGUCAACUAGGUGUUGGGUGGGUAAAACCAUUUAGUACCGUAGCUAACGCGUGAAGUUGACCGCCUGGGGAGUACGGCCGCAAGGUUAAAACUCAAAGGAAUUGACGGGGACCCGCACAAGCGGUGGAUGAUGUGGAUUAAUUCGAUGCAACGCGAAAAACCUUACCUACCCUUGACAUGCCAGGAACUUGCCAGAGAUGGCUUGGUGCCCGAAAGGGAGCCUGGACACAGGUGCUGCAUGGCUGUCGUCAGCUCGUGUCGUGAGAUGUUGGGUUAAGUCCCGCAACGAGCGCAACCCUUGUCGUUAAUUGCCAUCAUUUAGUUGGGCACUUUAACGAGACUGCCGGUGACAAACCGGAGGAAGGUGGGGAUGACGUCAAGUCCUCAUGGCCCUUAUGGGUAGGGCUUCACACGUCAUACAAUGGUCGGUACAAAGGGUUGCCAAGCCGCGAGGCGGAGCCAAUCCCAGAAAGCCGAUCGUAGUCCGGAUUGCAGGCUGCAACUCGCCUGCAUGAAGUCGGAAUCGCUAGUAAUCGUGGAUCAGCAUGUCACGGUGAAUACGUUCCCGGGUCUUGUACACACCGCCCGUCACACCAUGGGAGCGGGUUCCGCCAGAAGUAGGUAGCCUAACCGCAAGGGGGGCGCUUACCACGGCGGGGUUCGUGACUGGGGUGAAGUCGUAACAAGGUAGCCGUAGGGGAACCUGCGGCUG
This 1287-nucleotide ribosomal RNA is filed under the name metagenome. Its description in RNAcentral is "bacterial SSU rRNA". It matches the Rfam family "Bacterial small subunit ribosomal RNA", at positions 242 to 1520 of the family's 1533-position model. The record is from RNAcentral.